Molecule: long non-coding RNA, 615 nt
Organism: Priapulus caudatus
Lineage: Eukaryota; Metazoa; Priapulida; Priapulimorpha; Priapulimorphida; Priapulidae
Exons: 2
Source: RefSeq, a predicted model, not a curated record
CUCGCAAAAGGACUGUCGCAAAGAAGAGUGUGUCACCGAGGCGCAGAUCCCGAAGUGCAUCCCGGGGAAGGAGCGCAAGCCGACGCCGCCCAACUCCUGUGGUACCACAGAAACUUGUUGUUAGGGUCCCCGCAACCAGAGUGCUGCGAUCCCGCACUAUCAAACUAGUCCUAGCAACUCAGUCUGUGACGAAGAAGCGCACCGCUAGCAAGCAGCGUAGGAGCUCCAGCAAAGUGAGGAAGAUACGCAAGCCGGCGCGCAGUGCUAAGAAGCCAGCACGCACUGCUAGCAAGCCAGCACGCAGUACUAGAGUUCUGCGCCGCCGCCGUCGUUAGAACAUGCACGCCCUUUACAUUAUCAAUAGCAGCUCUUUCCUCCCACGAUAGCAAAAAAUAACGACUAGAUUUGCGCAUUUUGGAUAACAAAUUCUUCUACAUAAAACAAGACUUUUGAGAAUGUAUGAGUUCCUGUAAGAGCGUCUCUAUGUCAAAUUCACAUAUUUCUAGUGAUUAUUGGUGAUCUAAAACGGAACAGACAACUUGUAACAAUGUAAGCCACAACUCAGUCAUGUUGGAUACAUGAACGAAUAAACUAUAUAUAUUUUUGUAUACAAAA